This is a long non-coding RNA of Coregonus clupeaformis (lake whitefish), 129 nucleotides long. RefSeq lists it as uncharacterized. The record is from RefSeq and is a predicted model, not a curated record. Lineage: Eukaryota; Metazoa; Chordata; Actinopteri; Salmoniformes; Salmonidae. The transcript has 3 exons.
GUGAGACAGAAAUCCACUUCAUCCUUCCAACAGAUAACAAUUGACAAGAUCCCAGGUCUUCAUAUUGUUGGCAAGCAAGUCCAGUGGAUUUGUACCCUUCCAGUGUCCUACUUCAAAGCUGGUAAGAAA